Molecule: ribosomal RNA, 253 nt
Filed under: uncultured bacterium
Lineage: Bacteria
Description: partial 16S ribosomal RNA
Rfam family: Bacterial small subunit ribosomal RNA
Source: RNAcentral
UACGUAGGGGGCAAGCGUUAUCCGGAUUUACUGGGUGUAAAGGGGGCGCAGACGGCGAUGCAAGCCAGGAGUGAAAGCCCGGGGCCCAACCCCGGGACUGCUCUUGGAACUGCGUGGCUGGAGUGCAGGAGGGGCAGGCGGAAUUCCUGGUGUAGCGGUGAAAUGCGUAGAUAUCAGGAGGAACACCGGUGGCGAAGGCAGCCUGCUGGACUGCAACUGACGUUGAGGCGCGAAAGCGUGGGGAGCAAACAGG